Molecule: long non-coding RNA, 5173 nt
Filed under: Gossypium barbadense (sea-island cotton)
Lineage: Eukaryota; Viridiplantae; Streptophyta; Magnoliopsida; Malvales; Malvaceae
Description: long non-coding RNA (GBAR_LNC002336)
Source: RNAcentral
UUUUCUCUUCCCCUCCACUGAAAUAUGCAGCAAAGAAAGGUUUUUGAAGCUGGAAAAUUUCAGCAACAUAUUUCCCUUGCUUGUAAGUGAUUUUAAUGUCUUUGCUUGAUGAUUUUUGUAUUUUUGGAACCUCUAAAGCAUAAGCUUUCAUAAGAGGGGAUUAUUUUGCAAAAUGAUGAAGAGUCUAGGGUUUUACCAUGAGAGUAAAUGUGUUGUUUGCUAUGUUUUUAUGGAAGAUUAUGAGUCCUAGUUGUCUAAUAAACAACUUUUGUGAAAGAAAUUGCAUGAAAAUACCUUAAAAAGGGGUAAAUUGCUAAGUUGUAAAAUGAGUUGUAAAUGUGUAAAAUAGUUGAAAUUAUGAGUUUCUAUAGUUAUGAAAAUGGUUCAUCUAGACUCAAGGAGUAAAUAAAUGUGAUAAAAAUUAAUUUACGAGCAUUCGGGCAAAAGUGCAAAUAUGCAAAAGUUUAGGGGUCAAAAUGGAAAUUUGUAAAAAUAUGAUUUUUAGACCCAUAUGAAUAUUGUGACUGAUUGGUAGGCUAAAUGUGAUGUUAUAGAUGAUGAAAAUUGAGACUUGGACCUAGAACGGAAAGAAAUCGAUUUAUGGACGAGUAUGUCCUUUUCACCUUUGUGGUAUUGAGGUAAGUUCAUGUGUAAAUAAUGUAGCAUAAUUGUUAUUUUUAAGUCAUUGAUGUUAAAUAUAUGAUAUGCUGAUUUCUAUCAUGAAAUAUAUGCUUUGUGGUUAUUUUCGAAUAAAAUGUAAGUUAUGUGUAUUAUCUGUUAAAUAUAAAGUGCUACCGAGUAUUGGUUUCGGUAUUUUACGGAAGAUGGCAAGGAGAUGUGUUCGAGGAAAAUCCCGUUUGAACCUUAGGAAUAGAUUAGGAUACAAGUGACAUGUCACUAGGAUGGUUGAGCAUCCGAACUCGUUGAGUCGAGUCUGAGUUCACUUAUGGAUGCGAAUGUUCGAACUCGUUGAGUUGAGUCCGAGUUCGUGAGAUGUAACUAGGCAUCCGAGCUCGUUGAGUUGAGUCCGAGUUCACUUAUGGGUGGGUUACAUGGUAGCUUGGCUACAUAUGUGGCACUUAUGUGCAAACUUUCCAUGUAUCCGAAUUAUAUUCCGAUGUGUUCAACGGGUAAAAUUCUACUCAAAUGGAGGAAUACUCGAGAUGAAAGGGACGUAUUGGUAAAUGUUGUGAAAUGGAUACUUUGAACAGGUAUGUACUUAACCCUCGGGUUGAAAACUCGACAUAACAACAAUAUGGUAAGAUGAUAAAUGAAAAUGUGAUAUGAAUGUCUCGGUGAUGAUUAUACAAACGAUGUUGUAUUAAUUUUGUGAGCAAUGAUCAUAAAUGAGUAAUUUAGCCUUGACAGAUUUGAGUUACUGCAGUAGUGUAACUUUGAAAAUACACUAAAAAUAGUGGAAAAUGAGUUAGAGGCAGAAUAAAAUAUGGGAUUAAAGAUUAAUGAGUCUAUUUUCACAUGAAAGAAACAGAGGAAGAAAAAGAAUUCCAUAUUGUGUGAUAUUUGAAUUCUUGUGAAACAGGGUCUGAAUGAAUUCGAGAUCCCCUGUUCUGACUUUAGAAAUUCACCAAAAAUAGUACAAAAAUUAUAAAGAGUCAUACCUUACAUGAAUGGAUUCCUUAUUGAGUCUAUUUUUAGGGAAAAUAAACGCCAUGGUCGUUGGAAUUUUUUUACAGGGAGAAAUUUGGUUUGUAGUGCACAGGGGCCAGAGUGGUCAUACCCUGAAAAAGGGGAGAUUUUAACUAAUAAACUGUACUAAUUGGCCCAACCAAAAAUUCUAGAAAAAAAUUAGUAAGUAGAAAUAUGAGUCUAGUUUCAAGAGAAAUAGACGAGAACAUUAUUUGAGUCUUGUACUAUGAGAUAAUUGAACUUUAUUACAGAAGGGUCGGAACUGUCAGACAGUGAAUUAGGGGUAACUUUGAGGAAUAAACUGUACUAUUUGGCUUUACCAAAAAUUCUGAAAAUUUUAUGGAAAAAAUGAAAAUAAGUCUAGUUUCAGAGAAAUUAACGGAAUUUAAUUCGGAGUUUCGUAGCUCCAGAUAUAAAUAAUUUAGUGACUGUUGCUCAGGAAGACAGCUUGUAGUGAACUUGAGAAUAUGUUGUAAACAUUGAUAAAACAAGUUAAUGAGUUGCUUAUUGUUUUCAUAUGAACUUACUAAGCGAAAGGUUACCCCCCUUCUUUCCCAUGUUUUCUAGAGUUUCCAAGUUAGCUCGGGUUGGAGGCCGUCAGAGAUAUUAUCACCCUAUCGAGUUAACGUUAUCGGAGUAAGUAAACUCAAGUGAUUCGAGUCUAUGGCAUGUAUAGGGUUUUAAUGUGAGUAUGUAAUAUUAUGAUUUAGCCAAAGGCAUUGGCUUGUUAUUAAGGUAGUAUUAGUCAUGUAAAUUGGCCUAUGUCGGCUAAUGACGCUAUGGGCCCAUAUGAUUAUUCUUAUGCAUGUAUGUUAUUAUCUCUUGUGAUGUGGCUUACAACAUGUAUGCCUAGAGAUUGAAUUGAGAUUCAUUGAUGAGCUAGUAACUAAUGCAGGAUUAAGUGAUUGGUAAAUAGUUAAUAAUGCUUCAUGAAUGGUUUGUGAUGUAAUGAUAGUUAUGUCUAGUAUGUGGUAAUGAUAUGGGCAAAUUCUAUAAUAUUUAUUGCAUAAGAAAAUAACUUGAGUAUAACAUGUUUGUAGAUGUUUAAGAGCUCAUUUAUGCCACGUUAUAUGUUAUUGGAUAAGUAUGUAUCUAUGCAUGUGGUGUGAGAGUGACAAAAGGCUUGAUAAUUAGCCUAUUUCUGGCCACACGGCCUGAGCACAAGGGCGUGUGAAGCCUUAACGCACGAGAUUUUUCAAAGUUUUUCAUGAGUUCUCGAUUGGGUCCUGAACCGCCCCAAAUGCAUGUAUUAGGCCUCGUAAGCUCGCAUAAGGGACAGAUUGCAUGUGAAAAGAAAAGUUUUUAAUUAUUUGAGAUUUCAUGGCCCUGUUUAGUAUGAAAGUGUUAGUAAAAGUUAGGUAGCACCUCGAACCCCGUCCCGGCGUCGGAUGUGGGCGACGGAUGUUACAUAAGAGGUCCAUUAGAGACAUGAUUUAAAUAAAUAAAAGAUGCCCAUGCACAAAUUAUCCAUUUGAAUGGCAAGACCAUGCAAUUUUGGGCAUGACGUUGACUACUUGACCUAGUAAAGAAGGUGAUGAAUUAUGGACAUAUCUGCUAAGUUAUUGACUGAAAAAGCCAUCCAAAAAGGGGAAUUAAAAGCAUAAUUUCGACAAUAGAAGAUGGCUGUCCAAAAUAUGUUUUGGUACAUUUAAUGGAAGGUCCUUGCAAUUGGAAAAUAAUCAGAAUUCAGCCAAACAACUUCCCUAUUGAAAUUGUAAGAGCCUGAUUUUAGCUAAAUCGGAACAGUGGUUUUGAAACCAUAAAUCCGAUUUCAAAACAUUAUUUUAAUAUUAUAUUUGUUGUUUAUAACAUGUUAUUUUAUAUGUGUGAAAAUUCCGUGAGCUAAUUUUAUCGUUUAAUAGCUCAAUUUGAGAAAAAGGACUAAAUCGGGUAAAAUAUAAAAAAUUGCAUGCUAUUAGUUAAAGGUGUCAAUUAGGCUUUUUUUAAUAUGAUGGCCUUAAAUGGUAAUUAGACCAUUUUAGAUGUUAAUGGACAUUAAUGGACAUUUCUUAUGUGUUUUUAAAGGUUAUAAUUAAAGGUUAAUAUUGGUAAUUGAUAAAUCAUGUUAUUAUUAAUAAAAAAAAGUGAAUUAAAACAUUAUUUUCCAUCACCAUGCACUGAAAUUUGAAGAACAAGAAGAUAAAAUAGGGUUCUUCAUUCGACUAUGAAUAAUUCAAGCAAUUAGGUAUGUUUUGAGCUCGAUUUUUGAUGAUUUUUAUGUUUUUGAGAUCGUUACUUUGUAUUCUAGCUAGCCCAUGCCUUAAUUUUUGAAUUUUUUUAUGAUUUUGUAAAGUGCCAUUGAUGAUUAUUUGAGAUUUUGGAUGUUUUAUGAUGAAAUAUGAAAACUUGAUGAUAGAUUUUAAUGUUUUGUAAAGUGAUUUUUGACAAAAAUGUUAGAUAGGGAUUAUAUUGUAAAAAUGUGUAAAUUGAGGGGUUCAAAUGUGAAAUAAAUGAAAUAUGUGGGCUACUAGGGACACUAUUGAAAUUCGACUAUGGUGAAAUUGGAUUAAAUUGCGUGACUUUCUAUUUUUGUGAAAUAAGGACCAAUUUGUAAAAAUGUGGAACUUUAGGGGCUAAAGUAUAAAAAUGCCCAAAUAUGUGUUUGUGGACUGAAUUGAAUGAUUUGAUGAAUAAAUGAAUUAAUUUUGAAUGUAUAUAGAUCAAGAACGAAAGAAAUCGAAUUUAGAUCGAGGAAAAUCAAAGGUUAUCCAAUAGUCGAUCUCGUUCGUUUAUCGCGAAUACAAGGUAAGUUCAUAUGCAAAUAAAUGUCUUUAAAUUGAAUUAUAUAUGCUUAAUUAUCAUUAAACUGCUAUGAAUGUUGAAUGAUCAAAUACGAGCAAGAAUCGACAGGGUUACAAUAUCCGAAAGUCCCAUACGAACCUUAGGAAUACUAUAGGAUAAGAAUGUCAUUACAUUAGGAUUAACGAGAUGUGAUUAUAUGUAAGACCAUGUCUGGGACAUUGGCAUCAUUAUGUGAAUACGUGUAAGACCAUGUCUGGGACAUUGGCAUCAUUAUUUGAUUUCGUGUAAGACCAUAGCUGGGCUAUCGGCAUCGAUACGUGAUAACAUGUAAGACCAUAUCUGGGAUAUGGCAUUGUACGAGCUAUAUGUGAUUUUUGAGUAUCCUAAACAAUUCCAAAAAGGUUUAACGGGAAAAUUUAAGUCGAGAAAGAAUGUGUGAAUGAGUUAAGUGAUUCAGGUACGUAAGAUAUUCAUACAAGUAUUGAAAAGGGAAGUAUUUGCUAAAUUCACUUAUGGUAUUGAAUAUGUAUACAUUGGGAAAGGUUUGUAAGCUUUUAUGUGCUUAUUCAUAGUUUUCCUAUCGAUGAAAAUGAUGUUGAUACAUGAGGUAAUUUUAUUUGUGUAUGGAUUACUAAGAUUUUAAAGAUUACUUUGUGUGUUAUUUCCCUAUUUUAUAGAUAAUCGAAGCUAGGUCUGACUCGGGGAUCAUCAGGAACACUGUCACACUAUCGAUCAACUUGUUGGUACUUUUGAUGCUAUGUAUAUAUGGUAUAUGACAUGUAUA